UACAGAGGGGGCAAGCGUUAUUCGGAAUUAUUGGGCGUAAAGGGCGCGUAGGCGGCCAUUCAAGUGACGGGUGAAAGCCCUCGGCUUAACCGAGGAACUGCCUGUCAGACUGGAUGGCUUGAGACCGGGAGAGGUGAGUGGAAUUCCCAGUGUAGCGGUGAAAUGCGUAGAUAUGCGGAGGAACACCGAUGGCGAAGGCAAUUCCCUGGACCUGUACUGACGCUCAUGCACGAAAGCGUGGGGAGCAAACAGG
RNAcentral lists this ribosomal RNA (253 nucleotides) under uncultured bacterium. RNAcentral's name for it is "partial 16S ribosomal RNA". It matches the Rfam family "Bacterial small subunit ribosomal RNA", at positions 524 to 776 of the family's 1533-position model. The record is from RNAcentral.